GAACCGGGCACGUGCAGCGGCUCACCAGGCUCUGAACCUACGGGAAGUGGGCAAUGGGUUCAGCCCUCCCCUCUGCCCAGGUAGCCAAACUCCCCCUGCACGCUGGGUCAAGCCCAACGGGCGGCCUUUCUGCCCCCCAGCCCCAAGGCUUCUGCUGAGUCAGGGCUGGGGGCUGAGAAGCAAGUAGAGAAGACUUUUAAUGGCUCAACGAGAACAAGACCUUGAGUGGCCACCUACGGCCCAGCACCCUCGUGAGUCAGCUGACAGAGGCCGCGGAGUGUGAUGGUUAAGGUGGACCUUGGAACCUGACAGGUUUGGGUGGGAAUCCUGCCUCCACCGCACUGUAGGCCUUGGGCAAGCCGCACCAGGGUGGGCGCCGCGACGCCGAAGCACUGGGCCCGGCGGCCCAGCUCCAGCAGGCACAGCACCACGUUCUUCACGUUCUUGCGCAGCACCAGGUCGUCCGUCUCGAACAUCAGCACCUCUGGCCGGGGCGGGAGAGGGGAGAGGAGGGUAGGCAGCCUGAGAUCCCCGCCGACCUGCCCGGAGCAAGCAAGCGGAACAGGAUGGGUCCAGGAGCAAGAAGCAGUCUGUUCUGCUUCCCAUCCGCGCCUCUCACCUCCAGUAACCACCAGGCACCCCAGACUCAACUCCCAGCCCACACACAACCAGGCUGGGAUGCCUCUACUUGAGCUUCUACCACGUUGGGCUGUAAUUUAUGCAUCUUCUCAGCUGCCUCUCUUCCUGGGCCACAAACUUCUUGGCACUGGUUCUCAGCCCUCUCAGCGCUCGGUGCCCAGCACGACGCUCUACCCAAAGGAGAUAGGUGCUCGAAUCAUCCAAUCAACACAUUUAUUUAUUGGGGAUUUCCUAUGAGAUUGGGAAACUGAGGCAUGAAAAGGAAUGAGCUGGCCCAAGGCAAAUCUGGAAGGAGGACCAUGGUUCCUGUCCCUUGAUGCAGCCUGAGCCUCAGAGAGGAGAUUGACGCCUGGCAAGAUAAGGGUCUGGGGAGGGGGGCCCAGGGUGCUUACCUUGGAU
Balaenoptera acutorostrata (minke whale) is the source of this 1038-nucleotide RNA transcript. RefSeq lists it as uncharacterized. The transcript is spliced from 4 exons. The record is from RefSeq and is a predicted model, not a curated record. Lineage: Eukaryota; Metazoa; Chordata; Mammalia; Artiodactyla; Balaenopteridae.